Molecule: ribosomal RNA, 1182 nt
Filed under: Pantoea allii
Lineage: Bacteria; Pseudomonadati; Pseudomonadota; Gammaproteobacteria; Enterobacterales; Erwiniaceae
Description: partial 23S ribosomal RNA
Rfam family: Bacterial large subunit ribosomal RNA
Source: RNAcentral
AUGGGGGUGACUGCGUACCUUUUGUAUAAUGGGUCAGCGACUUAUAUUCUGUAGCAAGGUUAACCGUAUAGGGGAGCCGCAGGGAAACCGAGUCUUAACUGGGCGUUAAGUUGCAGGGUAUAGACCCGAAACCCGGUGAUCUAGCCAUGGGCAGGUUGAAGGUUGGGUAACACUAACUGGAGGACCGAACCGACUAAUGUUGAAAAAUUAGCGGAUGACCUGUGGCUGGGGGUGAAAGGCCAAUCAAACCGGGAGAUAGCUGGUUCUCCCCGAAAGCUAUUUAGGUAGCGCCUCGUGAACUCAUCUCCGGGGGUAGAGCACUGUUUCGGCUAGGGGGCCAUCCCGGCUUACCAACCCGAUGCAAACUGCGAAUACCGGAGAAUGUUAUCACGGGAGACACACGGCGGGUGCUAACGUCCGUCGUGAAGAGGGAAACAACCCAGACCGCCAGCUAAGGUCCCAAAGUCAUGGUUAAGUGGGAAACGAUGUGGGAAGGCACAGACAGCCAGGAUGUUGGCUUAGAAGCAGCCAUCAUUUAAAGAAAGCGUAAUAGCUCACUGGUCGAGUCGGCCUGCGCGGAAGAUGUAACGGGGCUAAACCAUGCACCGAAGCUGCGGCAGCGACACUAUGUGUUGUUGGGUAGGGGAGCGUUCUGUAAGCCGUCGAAGGUGUGCUGUGAGGCAUGCUGGAGGUAUCAGAAGUGCGAAUGCUGACAUAAGUAACGAUAAACAAGGUGAAAAACCUUGUCGCCGGAAGACCAAGGGUUCCUGUUCAACGUUAAUCGGAGCAGGGUGAGUCGACCCCUAAGGCGAGGCCGAAAGGCGUAGUCGAUGGGAAACAGGUUAAUAUUCCUGUACUUGGUGUUACUGCGAAGGGGGGACGGAGAAGGCUAUAUCAGCCGGGCGACGGUUGUCCCGGUUUAAGCGUGUAGGUGUGUGUUCCAGGCAAAUCCGGUUCACUUUACACUGAGGCGUGACGACGAGGCACUACGGUGCUGAAGUGAUAAAUGCCCUGCUUCCAGGAAAAGCCUCUAAGCAUCAGGUAACACAAAAUCGUACCCCAAACCGACACAGGUGGUCAGGUAGAGAAUACCAAGGCGCUUGAGAGAACUCGGGUGAAGGAACUAGGCAAAAUGGUGCCGUAACUUCGGGAGAAGGCACGCUGGCGCGUAGGUGAAGGGAC